Molecule: microRNA precursor, 207 nt
Filed under: Oryza brachyantha (malo sina)
Lineage: Eukaryota; Viridiplantae; Streptophyta; Magnoliopsida; Poales; Poaceae
Description: MIR812 microRNA precursor family
Rfam family: MIR812 microRNA precursor family
Source: Rfam by way of RNAcentral
AAUACGGUCAUUUUUCAGUUAUUAGAUACAAUGUUUUGACUCUUCGUUUUAUUUGAAUUUUUUUACGAUUAAUAUUUUUAUUGUUACUAGAUAAUAAAAUAUGAAUAGUACUUUAUGCAUGACUAAUUAUUUUAAGUUUUUUACAAUUUUUUCAAAUAAGAUUAAUGGUCAAAGCAUUAGUCACGUAAAUCAAAAAAUGAGUUUAUU